UACGUAGGGUGCAAGCGUUGUCCGGAAUUAUUGGGCGUAAAGAGCUCGUAGGCGGUUUGUCGCGUCUGCUGUGAAAACCCGAGGCUCAACCUCGGGCCCGCAGUGGGUACGGGCAGACUAGAGUGCGGUAGGGGAGAUUGGAAUUCCUGGUGUAGCGGUGGAAUGCGCAGAUAUCAGGAGGAACACCUGCGGUGUAGACGGCUUACUGGACGGUAACUGACGCUGAGGCACGAAAGCGUGGGUAGCAAACAGG
RNAcentral lists this ribosomal RNA (253 nucleotides) under uncultured bacterium. Its description in RNAcentral is "partial 16S ribosomal RNA". It matches the Rfam family "Bacterial small subunit ribosomal RNA", at positions 524 to 776 of the family's 1533-position model. The record is from RNAcentral.